This is a long non-coding RNA of Antechinus flavipes (yellow-footed antechinus), 1456 nucleotides long. RefSeq lists it as uncharacterized. NCBI's taxonomy places the organism in Eukaryota, Metazoa, Chordata, Mammalia, Dasyuromorphia, Dasyuridae. The record is from RefSeq and is a predicted model, not a curated record. The transcript has 3 exons.
AGUCCAAAAAUUCUAUAAUCCCAUUCCCUAAAACUAAUCUCCCUACCAUCAGCCUCCAAACCAUCACUUUAGCCAAAAAUGAUUUUAUUUUCAUCAUACACAUCUCCUCUGAUAAUAGCAGAAAGAUGAAAUGUGGUAUAAUGGGAAGAGUACCAGGAGUCCUGACUCUGCCACUGGCACUCUCUGUAGGCUUAAGCAAAUCACUCACCUCCUAAGCCUCAAGUUGGACUGAAGUGAUCCCUAACUCAAGCAUUUUAGGAGAUAUAUACUAUCCUCAGGUCUUGACCAAGCCACUCAAUCUUGUUAGACCUGUGAUUUUAAAGGGCAGGGUGAAUUAUAACCAGUUCUCUCUUGGCCAGCACCAAGAAUAACAUAAGAGGUUUCAUUCUGGUUUUUCUCCCUUUAAGGAAAAGAAAAGGAAAGCCUUUUUUAAAUAACCAAAGUUGAACUUUUAAAAGGAGCAUGGGCAACAGUAUUUAAAUCUCCAGAGAAAGUAUUUUUGUUGCUGCUGUUGUGGAUUUUUUUUUUUUUUUUUGAGAGAGGAUAGAAGAGGAUAAUUUUGAAGUCUAACAGUAACACAACAGCAGCUGGACAAAUAGGAAUAUCAUGUGUGCUUUCAGAGAGAGGACUAAAGAUGAGUCGACAUGAUUUUUCAAGUUGAGGAAGAAAUAAGGCUGAGGAUAGAUUCCUGUUCUACAUCAUUUCCACAGCAAACACAGCACAUUUCUUUUCUUUCUUUUCUUUUUUUUUUAAAUGGGAAAAAAUCAGCCUGUUCAGUGGAUAACCUGAUGGGGGCAAUCCCAGUUCCCAGGACACUCUAGAUUUUCCUUUCGGUGCCCUCUUCUUUCUCCCUUCUCCUGCUUCCCGAAUCACGCGCACCUCAGCGCACCCAGGCACACAUAGUCUCCCUGUCAAAUUCCUGGCUGAUCCGGAGGGACAUGUGUCGGGGAGCCGGCAAGUUCGCCAUCCAACUGCUCUUCCCCGGGGCCUCAGAAACUGCGGUAACCAUAGAAACAGCAGCCAAUCCGAGGGCUCUGCGGCCAGCAGGGGCGGAGACAGACCCCUCCGACAUACACAGGAAAUGAAGGCCUUCGUGUGUCAUGACAACUAGGGAAGCUGUGGAAGCCUGGCAAGAACCCUGAAACAUUGGUAAAGAGUUGGACUACAUACCAAGAAAGGAGCAAGUUCAGAAGCAAAUAAUAGCCAUGUAACUCAGACCCCAAGGACAGGAUUGGGUCUCAGUUCAAGCUUUUCACCCACUCUGAAACCUACAGAGGAAUAAGCAGAGCAGGAGUCCCUGACCAAAAGAGAGCCAACAGUCCAUCACCAAACAGCAAAACUUCUCAGGUAAAUAAGAGUGACUGAGUCCAGAAGCAUUCUAUUGUUGCUGAGACCCAAACCCAAGUCAAGAGUUGACAGAUCUGCUUCCUAAGCUAAUAGGGCAAAUAAAAGUUGU